Molecule: long non-coding RNA, 934 nt
Filed under: Androctonus crassicauda
Lineage: Eukaryota; Metazoa; Arthropoda; Arachnida; Scorpiones; Buthidae
Source: RNAcentral
GUUUUUUUGAAAGUUUUGGCGGGGUCUGCUCAAUUGGUGCUGGGGGUUGGUUAAUGGUUUUGUUCGGUUGCCGUUUAGAGCAGUUGAAUCCAAGAAUCAGAAUAUUUAAAUAGCUAGUAAACUUGUUGAGUCAAAAGUUAAAUUGGAGUUUUAAGAGAUGAAUAAAUUUAAGUCCUUAAUGACUAAGCUAGUGAGAACUCGAGAAGUUUGAGUUCCUAAGACAAUGUAAAAUUAAUGGAGUAUAUCCAAAAUCUAUAUGGAGCAUAAAGUUACCAGUUAACUCUAAAAAAAUCUUGCAAAAUACAAGAAAAAUAUGCUUGAAAGCCACAAUAACAGAGGCAAGAAGGAAAAUAUACAAUUUAAGAAGAGAGCAAAUAGUUCUACAAAAAAGCAAGGAAAUAACAGACAUACCUAAUUACCAAACAGUUAUAGCAAGGCACCAAGAAGACUUGACUACCUUAAAAACAAUUUAAGAAGGCAACAUAUAAGAAAAAUAAAAUGGUUAUUCAAGACCCAGCUACACAAAUCAAAAAAUAACAAAACAUUUGAACUGCAAGAAGUUGUAACACUAAUAGACGACUUGCCAUCCUAGAGUCAGUAAUGAAGGUUCUAAAGAAAGGCCCAUCCUACACUCUAAAAACAUUGAUUAACCCAAUCGAUGUUAUUCCAUCUUUUGAAAGAAUCUCAAAUAACCUAGACUCAUUAGAAAAGGAAAGAGCAAGAUGGAAGUUAGUACAAGAGCUAGAAAAAUCUAAGAUAAAAGAGAACUUAGCAAACUUACUUAGAAACUGCUAUACCCUUUUAACUAUUAACUUCAAAUAUAAGCACUUAUAUGCAGUUCUUAUAUGCAAUUCUGCUAAGAUCCCCGCCCCCUUGCUGGGAUAUUAGCAGAAUUUAUAAUAAGAAAAAUAGAAACGACAGAGCUACAGGGCAC